UGACUCCGUAGCUCAGUUGGUAGAGCAACUGACUCUUAAUCAGUGGGUCGAGAGUUCGAGCCUCUCCGGGGUCACCAU
This 78-nucleotide transfer RNA is filed under the name Porphyromonas endodontalis ATCC 35406. RNAcentral's name for it is "tRNA-Lys". It matches the Rfam family "tRNA". Rfam says of the family: Transfer RNA (tRNA) molecules are approximately 80 nucleotides in length. Their secondary structure includes four short double-helical elements and three loops (D, anti-codon, and T loops). The record is from RNAcentral. Lineage: Bacteria; Pseudomonadati; Bacteroidota; Bacteroidia; Bacteroidales; Porphyromonadaceae.